Molecule: ribosomal RNA, 435 nt
Filed under: uncultured bacterium
Lineage: Bacteria
Description: partial 16S ribosomal RNA
Rfam family: Bacterial small subunit ribosomal RNA
Source: RNAcentral
AGCGAACGCUGGCGGCAGGCUUAACACAUGCAAGUCGAACGGGCAUCUUCGGAUGUCAGCGGCAGACGGGUGAGUAACACGUGGGAACGUACCCUUCGGUUCGGAACAACUCUGGGAAACUGGAGCUAAUACCGGAUACGCCCUUAUGGGGAAAGGUUUACUGCCGAAGGAUCGGCCCGCGUCUGAUUAGCUAGUUGGUGGGGUAACGGCCUACCAAGGCGACGAUCAGUAGCUGGUCUGAGAGGAUGAUCAGCCACACUGGGACUGAGACACGGCCCAGACUCCUACGGGAGGCAGCAGUGGGGAAUAUUGGGCAAUGGGCGCAAGCCUGAUCCAGCCAUGCCGCGUGAGUGAUGAAGGCCUUAGGGUUGUAAAGCUCUUUUGUCCGGGACGAUAAUGACGGUACCGGAAGAAUAAGCCCCGGCUAACUUCGUG